AUUGAACGCUGGCGGCAGGCCUAACACAUGCAAGUCGAACGGUAACAGGAAACAGCUUGCUGUUUCGCUGAUGAGUGGCGGACGGGUGAGUAAUGUCUGGGAAACUGCCUGAUGGAGGGGGAUAACUACUGGGAACGGUAGCUAAUACCGCAUAACGUCGCAAGACCAAAGAGGGGGACCUUCGGGCCUCUUGCCAUCGGAUGUGCCCAGAUGGGAUUAGCUAGUAGGUGGGGUAACGGCUCACCUAGGCGACGAUCCCUAGCUGGUCUGAGAGGAUGACCAGCCACACUGGAACUGAGACACGGUCCAGACUCCUACGGGAGGCAGCAGUGGGGAAUAUUGCACAAUGGGCGCAAGCCUGAUGCAGCCAUGCCGCGUGUAUGAAGAAGGCCUUCGGGUUGUAAAGUACUUUCAGCGGGGAGGAAGGGAGUAAAGUUAAUACCUUUACUCAUUGACGUUACCCGCAGAAGAAGCACCGGCUAACUCCGUG
Molecule: ribosomal RNA, 490 nt
Filed under: uncultured bacterium
Lineage: Bacteria
Description: partial 16S ribosomal RNA
Rfam family: Bacterial small subunit ribosomal RNA
Source: RNAcentral